GGGCUCGUAGCUCAGUUGGCUAGAGCGCGCCCCUGAUAAGGGCGAGGUCGGAGGUUCAAGUCCUCCCGGGCCCA
RNAcentral lists this transfer RNA (74 nucleotides) under Planctomycetota bacterium. Its description in RNAcentral is "tRNA-Ile". It matches the Rfam family "tRNA". Rfam says of the family: Transfer RNA (tRNA) molecules are approximately 80 nucleotides in length. Their secondary structure includes four short double-helical elements and three loops (D, anti-codon, and T loops). Further hydrogen bonds mediate the characteristic L-shaped molecular structure. tRNAs have two regions of fundamental functional importance: the anti-codon, which is responsible for specific mRNA codon recognition, and the 3' end, to which the tRNAs corresponding amino acid is attached (by aminoacyl-tRNA synthetases). tRNAs cope with the degeneracy of the genetic code in two manners: having more than one tRNA (with a specific anti-codon) for a particular amino acid; and 'wobble' base-pairing, i.e. permitting non-standard base-pairing at the 3rd anti-codon position. Lineage: Bacteria; Pseudomonadati; Planctomycetota. RNAcentral also lists the same sequence under 2 other names. The record is from RNAcentral.